UCCAGACUCCUACGGGAGGCAGCAGUGAGGAAUAUUGGUCAAUGGGCGGGAGCCUGAACCAGCCAAGCCGCGUGAAGGAAGAAGGCGCCAAGCGUCGUAAACUUCUUUUGUCGGGGAACAAAGGGCGCCACGUGUGGCGUUGUGAGUGUACCCGAAGAAAAAGCAUCGGCUAACUCCGUGCCAGCAGCCGCGGUAAUACGGAGGAUGCGAGCGUUAUCCGGAUUUAUUGGGUUUAAAGGGUGCGUAGGCGGAAGGUUAAGUCAGCGGUCAAAUGUCGGUGCUCAACCCCGGCCUGCCGUUGAAACUGGUCUUCUUGAGUGAGCGAGAAGUAUGCGGAAUGCGUGGUGUAGCGGUGAAAUGCAUAGAUAUCACGCAGAACUCCGAUUGCGAAGGCAGCAUACCGGCGCUCAACUGACGCUGAGGCACGAAAGCGUGGGGAUCGAACAGGAUUAGAUACCCCAGUAACC
RNAcentral lists this ribosomal RNA (467 nucleotides) under uncultured bacterium. RNAcentral describes it as "bacterial SSU rRNA". It matches the Rfam family "Bacterial small subunit ribosomal RNA", at positions 330 to 796 of the family's 1533-position model. The record is from RNAcentral.